RNAcentral lists this ribosomal RNA (492 nucleotides) under uncultured bacterium. RNAcentral describes it as "partial 16S ribosomal RNA". It matches the Rfam family "Bacterial small subunit ribosomal RNA", at positions 29 to 507 of the family's 1533-position model. The record is from RNAcentral.
AGUGAACGCUGGCGGUAGGCCUAACACAUGCAAGUCGAACGGCAGCACAGUAAGAGCUUGCUCUUACGGGUGGCGGGUGGCGGACGGGUGAGGAAUACAUCGGAAUCUACUUUUUCGUGGGGGAUAACGUAGGGAAACUUACGCUAAUACCGCAUACGACCUACGGGUGAAAGCAGGGGAUCUUCGGACCUUGCGCGAUUGAAUGAGCCGAUGUCGGAUUAGCUAGUUGGCGGGGUAAAGGCCCACCAAGGCGACGAUCCGUAGCUGGUCUGAGAGGAUGAUCAGCCACACUGGAACUGAGACACGGUCCAGACUCCUACGGGAGGCAGCAGUGGGGAAUAUUGGACAAUGGGGGCAAGCCUGAUCCAGCCAUACCGCGUGGGUGAAGAAGGCCUUCGGGUUGUAAAGACCUUUUGUUGGGAAAGAAAAGCAGCAGGUUAAUACCCCGCUGUUCUGACGGUACCCAAAGAAUAAGCACCGGCUAACUUCGUG